CCUACGGGUGGCAGCAGUGGGGAAUAUUGCACAAUGGGGGAAACCCUGAUGCAGCAACGCCGCGUGAGGGAAGACGGUUUUCGGAUUGUAAACUUCUAUCAAUAGGGAAGAAAGAAAUGACGGUACCUAAGUAAAAAGCCCCGGCUAACUACGUGCCAGCAGCCGCGGUAAUACGUAGGUGGCAAGCAUUAUCCGGAGUUACUGGGGGUAAAGGGCGUGGAGGCGGGGGAGCAAGUCAGAUGUUAAAACGACGGGCCUAACCUGUGGCACGCAUUUGAAACUGUUUUACUUGAGUGCUGGAGAGGCAAUCGGAAUUCCGUGUGUAGCGGUGAAAUGCUUAGAUAUCACGAAGAACCCCGAUGGCGAAGGCAGCUUACUAAACUGUGACUGACAUUGAUGCUCGAAAGUGUGGGUAUCAAACAGGAUUAGAUACCCGUGUAGUC
RNAcentral lists this ribosomal RNA (443 nucleotides) under uncultured bacterium. Its description in RNAcentral is "partial 16S ribosomal RNA". It matches the Rfam family "Bacterial small subunit ribosomal RNA", at positions 338 to 795 of the family's 1533-position model. The record is from RNAcentral.